RNAcentral lists this ribosomal RNA (440 nucleotides) under uncultured bacterium. Its description in RNAcentral is "partial 16S ribosomal RNA". It matches the Rfam family "Bacterial small subunit ribosomal RNA", at positions 338 to 795 of the family's 1533-position model. The record is from RNAcentral.
CCUACGGGUGGCAGCAGUGGGGAAUAUUGCACAAUGGGGGGAACCCUGAUGCAGCGACGCCGCGUGGGUGAAGGAGGACUUCGGUACGUAAAGCCCUAUCGGCAGGGAAGAAAAUGACGGUACCUGACGAAGAAGCACCGGCUAACUACGUGCCAGCAGCCGCGGUAAUACGGAGGGGGCAAGCGUUAUCCGGAUUUACUGGGUGUAAAGGGAGCGUAGGCGGGAUUGCAAGUCCGAAGUGAAAGCCCGGGGCUUAACCAUGGGACUGCACUUGAAACUGUAAAGCUGGAGUGCGGGAGGGGCAGGCGGAAUUCCUGGUGUAGGGGUGAAAUGCGUAGAUAUCAAGAGGAAUACUGACGGCGAAGGCGGCCUGCUGGACCGUUACUGACGUUGAGGCUCGAAAGCGUGGGGAGCAAACAGGAUUAGAUACCCGUGUAGUC